Molecule: small nuclear RNA, 102 nt
Organism: Jaculus jaculus (lesser Egyptian jerboa)
Lineage: Eukaryota; Metazoa; Chordata; Mammalia; Rodentia; Dipodidae
Source: RefSeq, a predicted model, not a curated record
AUGCUCUCUCUCAUUAAAAAAAAAAAAGUAAUUAUACAGAGAAGAUUAGCAUGGCUCCUGUGCAAGGAUGACACACAAAUUCAUGAAGCAUUCCAUAAAAAG